AUUGAACGCUGGCGGCAGGCCUAACACAUGCAAGUCGAGCGGAUGAAGGGAGCUUGCUCCUGGAUUCAGCGGCGGACGGGUGAGUAAUGCCUAGGAAUCUGCCUGGUAGUGGGGGAUAACGUCCGGAAACGGGCGCUAAUACCGCAUACGUCCUGAGGGAGAAAGUGGGGGAUCUUCGGACCUCACGCUAUCAGAUGAGCCUAGGUCGGAUUAGCUAGUUGGUGGGGUAAAGGCCUACCAAGGCGACGAUCCGUAACUGGUCUGAGAGGAUGAUCAGUCACACUGGAACUGAGACACGGUCCAGACUCCUACGGGAGGCAGCAGUGGGGAAUCUUGGGCCCUGGGCGCCCGCCUGCUCCCGCCCUGCCGCGUGUGUGAAGAAGGUCUUCGGAUUGUAAAGCACUUUAAGUUGGGAGGACGGGCAGUAAGUUAAUACCUUGCUGUUUUGACGUUACCCCCAGAAUCCGCACCGGCUCCCUUCGUG
Molecule: ribosomal RNA, 484 nt
Filed under: uncultured bacterium
Lineage: Bacteria
Description: partial 16S ribosomal RNA
Rfam family: Bacterial small subunit ribosomal RNA
Source: RNAcentral